UAAACCAGACUCCCGAUGCCCAAAGAUCACCACUAAUACACGAUGACAACAGUAAUAAGAAGUGAAAAAGAUAAUAGCAUAUGUGAAGUACGAAAGAAAAAAAAAAUCUCAGUUUGAUCAAUGUCUGCAAAAAAUAUCUGGGUUUGUGAAGGAUGAAAUCUAUUUUCUAGGUUUGAUCAAAUGAUUGAUUAGAUGUCAGAUGCUAAUUUAUAAAAAAAUGGGCGACACUGACUUUAUUAAAUUGAGAAAUGUUGUCACUAGACGAGUGCUCUUUCAUCACAUCAUAUUUUUUCUAUUAAGUUUUGGUUUUAAUAGAAACUGUUUCUAAAAUCAUGAGGUAAUACGUUAUAUUUUGACUCAUAUAUUUACACAUAAAAGUGUAUCCAAAUUCAUUGAAAGUAUGUAAAAGGAAUUGUAAAAUUUUAUCAAACAUGAAUGACACAAGAUUUUAAGUCUUUAAUUGAAUAAUAAUGGAUGUUAAAUUCUUUUAAUGAAGAGUUGUAAAUACAAGAACCAAUAGCAUAAGAUUUCAAAAAUCUUUUACCAAAAUAUUUCAAAUACAAACACGAAUAACACAAGAUUUUGAUAAAAGAUUUAAAAUCAAUAAUUGAAUAAUACUACAAUGUUAAACCAAAAGAAUUAACUUUAAAUCCAGUAACCAAUAAUACCUGUCUUUUUGUUUUUUUUUUAAAAUUUCUUAGAGGCAAUUGUGUUUUCUAAAUUAGUUAUUGUAACGAUAUUCAUUGAUAGUGAAUAAAGGGAAGACAAGCUUUUGGUAUUGAUUUCAUCCUAAGUCUAAAGCACAAAGUAGGGUUUAAAACCUAACAUCUGUGGGCAGCUACGCAAUUAAAAGCAAAGACACACUUUGGUGAAUAAGAUUAAGACGAUGAACAUUUUGCGGUUAUUCAUUUCGCUUAAGGAUUACAGAAAGCUUAACGUCUUAUUUAUACAGAGAAUAUCUAUACUAUACUAAAAGGGGGAUAUGAGCUCCAUUGAGCCUAUCCACCUCAGCAAAUUAAAUCAGCCACUUAGAAUAUGAGUUUGUGCCAUGUCAACUCUCAAUAACUAUAAUCACAAGCCACAUCAUCUCAUCAGUUCACGUUCUUAGUUUCUUCAGCUUCCUCCUCCCAACGUAAGCAUUUAUCGCACACACAAAACUGGUUCGGUUUCUUCUCAUAUUUUGUAUUUAUAGGAGUCAUAGUUCUGUCUAACCCUAAUCCCAUGAGAAGCCUUCCUCUCCCCCGAGACAGUCAAGCCUACUCAACGUGAAAGAACAAAAUCAUUGUAGUAGCCAUUAUCUCUCCGGUCCUGAUCAUAUCCUUGAUAUAGGUCUGAAAUUCUUGACACAUCUUUUUAAUGUCUGCGUCCAUAUACCUUAUGAUAUUUUCUGGCCAUGUUUUACAGAUACGUUUGUACGGAAGCAAUUGGAAACUUCAGGGCAAUACCUCGAACCCGGUCAGAAUCUUUGUAUUUGAUGGCUUACUGAUUCUCAGAAUCUUUACAAUAUUCUCUAUAUGUUUAAUGUUUGUAUGUAAGGUUACCUAAAAGCUUCAAUUUAUUUAUCCAUCUUCUAAUAUCUAGAUUUAAAAUAUGAUUUUUGGUUUGUUUCUAUAGUAACAAGUGUAUGGUCCAAGGUAGUUUCCAUAGCAGAAGGGUUGUAUGCUAGAUUCUCUGCUGCAUCAGUUUUUUUAGGUCCUUACAAGGCUGGUUCUUUUUUCUUUGUUGACACCUGCAAUAAGAAUCUUGACACGUUCGGUGACAAUCACUACUACGCACAGAAGGUGGAUACGAUGCACAGUUUGAUCAAAGUCCAUGGAGAUUGUUGUUAAGGAAACAAAUGAAGCUAAAAUGCUAAGAGCAGAGAAUAGUUGUGGCCAGAACCAGCCUUGAUCAAGGUGUUAACGCAGAAUUCUUAAGACUGAAUUGGAAUCAAGUAGAAUUUGUUUUGUAGAUAUGAAAUCACUCAGUUGUUGUAUUUGAUUAUAUUAUAGGUAAGAGUAAUAUCCCUUUGAGAAUUGGCUAGAUUGAUCAAGGAAAAACGUUUUUCAAGCCAGGGUUAGGAAAAACAUCCCUUUAGGUUGCACAAUAUAAAUGUAGUAUCAAUGAUGGAAAGGUGCUACAUGAUGUUUUUCUUUCAAAAAGACGCACCUCUAUUCGUACGGCAGCAACACGCUUUAGUUGCAGGAAAGUGUUGGUUAUUAUUCUCUUUUUUAUUUCCUUAAGGUUUUUUUGCUAACGAUUUGGUAAUAAGUUUAGUUUGUUCCUUAUGUUGAACAAAUGAAGGAAAAGUUGCUGCAAAAGAUUCAAAAACAGAGCAAAAACCAUAAAGGCCAAGUACAUGGAUGAUCUUUUUGGGGUGUGUACAGUACAUAAGUAGUAUGUAGUUGGAGACACGAUUUGGUUUAAAAUAUGACGUUGAAUGUUGUGGUUGACUCGAAGAAGUUAACUUUUGUGUUACAAACUUUCUCUUUAGUUAGAAGCUGCUAUAAUUUUUGGUUACAAUUUGCAAGAAAAAGUUAUGCCUUGUGGGAGUUGUGUUUUACAUUCUCCUAAAUUGUAACAGAUCUUCAGACAGAAUUAGUCGUUAGUUUCAUCUGAGAUUUGACUUUUUGUUAGAAAUUAUAUUGGUUCUUCGACAACAAUCAAGGCCUUGGAUUCUCAAGCUUAUCUCUCUUUUAGUGUCUCAUUGUUUGCAAAAAAAAAAACAAAGGCAAAUAUGUUUGUGAUCUUCUAAAAACAUAGUCUUUCUUUUUUUUAAACAAAAUCUUUACAUUGUGAAUGUGAGUUCCUUAGCCUGUGGAAAAUUUUGAAUUUCAGGUGGAAGGUGAGGAUGCUCAAAUUAUAAAGAGAACAAAAAAUGUGAUUUUAGGAGCUCCUAUAUGGGGGAUGUGCUCUGUUACUCUUUUCUCCUUAUUUCCUUUUUUUCCUUAGUAUUUGAGCUCAAAGAAGAUCUUUUAGUACUAAACCAUUACCUCAUAUCUUAAACUACUCAUCUUGCUUUCAGUAUGCAACAUGGUAAACAGUUUUCUUUAAUCACAAUAAAAUAUAAAAAUCUUCAAUGCAUGUAAUCUAAAAAAUAUUUGGGGAUAUACUUGCAGGCGCUGCACACUCAUAGAAUCUGGAACUGCACAUUUAUAUGAUGAGCUAGAGAUAUAGGUAGUUGAAAAAAACGAAGGAAUCAAUGAAACAGCAACAACUGUGCUUCAUCAACAAUUUUAAAGCUGUGAAAAAGCGAUAAAAGCAUCACAAUCACAGAUUCUUCACCUAAGCGGACUUAACAAUAAUAUAUUGUAAAGUUACAGCAAAAAACAAUAAUAUAUUGUAUACUGCAUAUACAAAAAUAUUAAUUCUGUGUUAAUCUAAAAUUAAUAUAAAAAUAUGAAAACACCAGGUGUAAAGAUUAAUGUAUUUAUAUAUUUUGAAUAAAAGUAAGAGAUAA
This is a long non-coding RNA of Brassica napus (rape), 3439 nucleotides long. RefSeq lists it as uncharacterized. The record is from RefSeq and is a predicted model, not a curated record. Lineage: Eukaryota; Viridiplantae; Streptophyta; Magnoliopsida; Brassicales; Brassicaceae. The transcript is spliced from 2 exons.